GCCUACGGGGGGCAGCAGUGGGGGAUAUUGCGCAAUGGGGGAAACCCUGACGCAGCAACGCCGCGUGAAGGAUGAAGGUUUUCGGAUUGUAAACUUCUUUUAUUAAGGACGAAAAAAUGACGGUACUUAAUGAAUAAGCUCCGGCUAACUACGUGCCAGCAGCCGCGGUAAUACGUAGGGGGCAAGCGUUAUCGGGAUUUACUGGGUGUAAAGGGAGCGUAGGCGGUUUAGCAAGUCAGAAGUGAAAGCCCGGGGCUCAACUCCGGGACUGCUUUUGAAACUGUUGAACUAGAUUGCAGGAGAGG
Molecule: ribosomal RNA, 305 nt
Filed under: uncultured bacterium
Lineage: Bacteria
Description: partial 16S ribosomal RNA
Rfam family: Bacterial small subunit ribosomal RNA
Source: RNAcentral